UUCUCAGUUCGGAUCGGAGUCUGCAACCCGACUCCGUGAAGCUGGAUUCGCUAGUAAUCGCGCAUCAGCCAUGGCGCGGUGGAAUACGUUCCCGGGCCUUGUACACACCGCCCGUCAAGCCAUGGGAGCCGGGGGUGCUUGAAGUGCGUCGCCGCAAGGCGCGCCCUAGAGCAAAACCGGUGACUGGGGCUAAGUCGUAACAAGGUAAC
Molecule: ribosomal RNA, 209 nt
Filed under: uncultured bacterium
Lineage: Bacteria
Description: partial 16S ribosomal RNA
Rfam family: Bacterial small subunit ribosomal RNA
Source: RNAcentral